CUCCAGACUCCUACGGGAGGCAGCAGUGGGGGAUAUUGCACAAUGGGGGGAACCCUGAUGCAGCGACGCCGCGUGGGUGAAGAAGUAUUUCGGUAUGUAAAGCCCUAUCGGCAGGGAAGAAUUUAGACGGUACCUGACUAAGAAGCCCCGGCUAACUACGUGCCAGCAGCCGCGGGAAUACGUAGGGGGCAAGCGUUAUCCGGAUUUACUGGGUGUAAAGGGAGCGCAGACGGCAGUGCAAGUCUGGAGUGAAAGCCCGGGGCCCAACCCCGGAACUGCUCUGGAAACUGUGCGGCUAGAGUACUGGAGGGGCAGGCGGAAUUCCUAGUGUAGCGGUGAAAUGCGUAGAUAUUAGGAGGAACACCAGUGGCGAAGGCGGCCUGCUGGACAGUAACUGACGUUGAGGCUCGAAAGCGUGGGGAGCAAACAGGAUUAGAUACCCGCGUAC
RNAcentral lists this ribosomal RNA (448 nucleotides) under uncultured bacterium. Its description in RNAcentral is "bacterial SSU rRNA". It matches the Rfam family "Bacterial small subunit ribosomal RNA", at positions 329 to 793 of the family's 1533-position model. The record is from RNAcentral.